Hibiscus syriacus is the source of this 299-nucleotide long non-coding RNA. RefSeq lists it as uncharacterized. Lineage: Eukaryota; Viridiplantae; Streptophyta; Magnoliopsida; Malvales; Malvaceae. The record is from RefSeq and is a predicted model, not a curated record. The transcript is spliced from 5 exons.
AAUGAACAAGAGGAGAAGUUUUUUACCAAGUGGGUGAAAUAUUGGGAACUUUGAUCAAAACGUUUAAAGCCUCUUUCUUGCCUUUCUUUGAUGAUCUAUCUUCAUAUCUUACACCUAUGUGGGGUAAAGAUAAGACGGCUGAAGAAAGAAGAGUUGCAAUUUGUAUUUUUGAUGAUGUUGUGGAACAGUGUCGCGAAGCAGCUCUAAAAUAUUAUGACACAUAUCUUCCUUUCAUGUUGGAGGCUUGCAAUGAUGAGAACCCAGAUGAUUGACAAGCAGCAGUAUAUGGACUUGGCGUU